ACCUCGGUGGUGCAGUGGUGGCACGCCUCCCACGUAUGAAUGAAACGCGGGUUCAACUCCCGUAUGAGGUA
Non-coding RNA from Parelaphostrongylus tenuis, 71 nucleotides. The record is from the annotation of a GenBank genome assembly. Lineage: Eukaryota; Metazoa; Nematoda; Chromadorea; Rhabditida; Metastrongylidae.